Numida meleagris (helmeted guineafowl) is the source of this 556-nucleotide long non-coding RNA. RefSeq lists it as uncharacterized. Lineage: Eukaryota; Metazoa; Chordata; Aves; Galliformes; Numididae. The transcript is spliced from 3 exons. The record is from RefSeq and is a predicted model, not a curated record.
UCUAAGGAAAGCAGUAUUUCAGCUUCUCUUGUCUGUGGCUUUGUGUUGGUGGAGAUCAGUUUGCUUCGUGCCAUUUUCUGGUCAGCGCAGAACAGCAGUGUCACAUUGAUGCAGAUAACUUCUCUCAAUAGAAAGAACAGAUCAAGGGCUCAGUCUGCAGUCAAACUGUUGCUUUGAAGUGCCAGUUUCCAAAGUCCUUCAUAUAUAUCAACACCACUAAACGGGAAAGCAUCCACGCUCUUUGUGGGCGGGGAGGAAUGAAGCAAACGUGCAAGCUCUGAGCUGCAGACAAAAAUGUGCACGCAGUCCAUGUUUGUACGGUUACAUGCUGGCAUAUGCAAGUUUGGAGCAGUGCUUUCAAGGAGGUUAAAAAUACCUGGAGCUGCAAGUCUGGCCUAUUUACUACAGAAUUCAUGAGUCAUCCACUAUACUGAAGUCUUGAAAUAUCACAGAGGUAUUAUUCACAGAGAGCUCAGCAAAAGAAUUCUGCCCUUCAGAACUUCAGAUUCAAAAGCCAAAUGCUUCAGGGUAACUGGUCAUCAAGCAUUAUUUUCCA